GCAGAUGGCAGUAUCUAGUUAAGUUUAUUUGAGUUCCGAAAUUAGGCAGAUGGGCUGGUUGGUAGUUGGCUGGGAGACCAUUAGGGAAUCCCAGGGCUAUGAGUC
RNAcentral lists this ribosomal RNA (105 nucleotides) under Notechis scutatus (mainland tiger snake). The record is from RNAcentral. Lineage: Eukaryota; Metazoa; Chordata; Lepidosauria; Squamata; Elapidae.